This is a non-coding RNA of Triticum aestivum (bread wheat), 135 nucleotides long. The record is from Rfam. Lineage: Eukaryota; Viridiplantae; Streptophyta; Magnoliopsida; Poales; Poaceae.
UAGAUACUCCCUCCGUCCGGAAAUACUUGUCAUCAAAAUGGAUAAAAGGGGAUGCAUCUAGUCGUAUUUUAGUUCUAGAUACAUCUCUUUUUAUCCAUUUUGAUGACAAGUAUUUUCGGACGGAGGGAGUACAAA